GUCUAGAACCUUGUCGAUGAGUUUGUGGAUCUCUCUCUGCCGGGCUGUUGCUCGGUUGAUGCAGUCCUGCAGCUUCUCUCUUGAAAGUGACGAUCCACCUGAGCCACAAAAGGCAGGCUUUGAAACAUGUUGUCUACAACAGGAAGUAGGAAACAAAAAAGCAAAAAUAGGACAGAACAGAAUGAAUGAUGAGAAAAGAAGGAAGCAAUAGAGGAGAGCCAAAGGACACAAAAUAUGGAGAGAAGCAGAACAAGAGCGGAGGUAAAGAAAGAAGGUUGGAUACAGUAAAAGUGAAAGGAACAAAUAAGUAAAGGAAGGACAGAAAAGGGGAAGUAAAGAAGUAUUGGAGGACACCAAAAUGAAGAGAAUGCAAGUCUGAAGUCUGGCUUAAAGUCUGAAAAAACAAAUA
Molecule: long non-coding RNA, 409 nt
Organism: Xiphophorus couchianus (Monterrey platyfish)
Lineage: Eukaryota; Metazoa; Chordata; Actinopteri; Cyprinodontiformes; Poeciliidae
Exons: 2
Source: RefSeq, a predicted model, not a curated record